Molecule: long non-coding RNA, 1595 nt
Filed under: Homo sapiens (human)
Lineage: Eukaryota; Metazoa; Chordata; Mammalia; Primates; Hominidae
Description: novel transcript
Source: RNAcentral
CUCAGCGUUUCAAGCACCUGGGACCACAGGUAGGAGGAUCACUUGAGGCCAGGAUGAAGAAAGCCUACUUAAUAUAACAAGACCCUGUCUCUACAAAAAAAUAAAAUAAAAUAAAUUAGGCAUGGUGGCAUGUGCCUGUAGUCACAGCUACUGGGAAGGCUGAGGCAGAGGAUGGCUUGAACCCAGGAGUUCAAGGCUGCAGUGAGCCAUAGUCACACCACUGCACUCCAGCCUGAGUGACACAGUGAGAUCCUGUCAACAACAACAACAAUAACAAAACACAAAGAAAAAGACCAGAAACCAGAAAUGCAAUUUGCCAAGCAUAUGAAGAAUAUGUUUUUACUGGUUUUUGAUAACUUAAAAUACUUCUUCAUCUAAAACCAGGCUGAUCUUGAGAAAGAUUUUAAAGGAGAUUAGAAAAUUCACUUUAACAAACCACUAUCAUAUAGUCACAUCAAUCUUUCGUAGAUAUUUUUGCAAACAAUUACCAGAAUUCUUAGAGUUUAUUACAGAUAUUUUGUUCUUGACCUUUGACACUUGCCAUUUAGCAAUUGCAUGGUUUUACUUUUGUGGUUGUAGAGUUUCUGUUUUUCUUUCAUUAGAAUGAUGUAAGUAGAGGAAUAGAAACUGUUAUAUUUGCAAAAAAAGAGCAAAGAUGCUUUGUGACCUUGGGAAUUAUAUUUGAAGGUUACUCACAAGAGAAUACCUUGUUUAGGAAAGAUGGUUAAUUUUUUUCUUGCAAGCAGACUUUUUUACAAAAUUAGUUAAUGGCAAAUGUGUUCUUUGCUGAAUAUUAAUCUAUAGUAUCAUUUAAGAUGUUCUUAAUUUAUGUUUCUGGACUUUGUUUAAAUGUCAAACUCUAGAAAGGGUAAACUAGCUCACCCCACUGCUAGGUAAUAGCUAGUAUUGUCUUCGCUGCAGGGCAUUUUACAGUAAAAUUUUGAAGUAUAUUGAAAAAAGUUACCAGUUCACUUACUAUACAAUAGCUUGGAAUGUGAAUGUCUGAAAGAAGAAAAAUUCAAUAAAUGACUAUGUAGUUAUUUGGUGGAAUUCACAACAUAAUAACAAGAAAAGGUUUUCAGCUUUGAUCAUAAUGGAAAUGAGUCAUUUAAUUUUACCCUCAGUCCUGGUACACAGUUUCAGCACCUGCUAAGAAGUCGGCUUGCAUUUAAAUGACUUAGGCAAUUAUUAAAAGCAAGUUUCAAGAAAUAAAUGGCAUUUAUAUAAAAAGGAGACUGGGCUCAAACUGCUAGUGCUUUAAAUUUCCAUAAAAGCAAAUUCAAGUUCAGAACAGGAUUCAGGAUUUAGUAACAAUUCAAAGGUUUUCAAUCCCUUAAUCUCUUUGUGAUAACUAUAUUCAUCAUGUAGCCAUUUUUAAAAGGAAGAGAAUAAAAAUGUUAACAUUGAUGUCUACCAGCACUUGUGACUGAAAAAUUGAUUAUAUAUGGUAAAUACUUAUGGCUCCAAAUAGCUAUUUGAUUUAUAAUUUUGGUAUUGAAAUGUAAUGAAAUACUUCUAUUGUAUUUGCAAUCGCUGGAAGAGUAGUAUGAAUCAUACUUCAAAUAAAAAUGCUUCUUUUUAUCAUUUUUCCCAAA